Molecule: ribosomal RNA, 429 nt
Filed under: uncultured archaeon
Lineage: Archaea
Description: bacterial SSU rRNA
Rfam family: Archaeal small subunit ribosomal RNA
Source: RNAcentral
UACCAACCCUCCGAGUGGUAGGGAUGAUUAUUUAGCUUAAAGCGUCCGUAGCUGGCUUGAAAAGUCCUCCGCUAAAUCCAGCGUCUAAGCGUUGGAAAGCGGAAGAUACUAUCAAGCUAGGAGGCGGAAGAGGCCGACGGUAUUUCUAGGGGAGGGGUGAAAUCCUAUAAUCCUAGGAGGACCACCAGUGGCGAAGGCGGUCGGCCAGAACGCACUCGACGGUGAGGGACGAAAGCUGGGGGAGCGAACCGGAUUAGAUACCCGGGUAGUCCCAGCAGUAAACUAUGCAGGCUAGGUGUUGGGGCGGCUACGAGCCGCUUCAGUGCCGCAGGAAAACCGUUAAGCUUGCCGCCUGGGGAGUACGACCGCAAGGUUGAAACUUAAAGGAAUUGGGCGGGGGAGCACUACAAGGGGUGAAGGCUGCGGUUU